GACGAACGCUGGCGGCGUGCCUAAUACAUGCAAGUCGAGCGAAUGACGAGAAGCUUGCUUCUCUGAUUUAGCGGCGGACGGGUGAGUAACACGUGGGCAACCUGCCCUACAGAUCGGGAUAACUCAGGGAAACCUGGGCUAAUACCGGAUAAUCCUUCGAAUCACAUGUUUUGAAGUUGAAAGGCGCUUCGGCGUCACUGUAGGAUGGGCCCGCGGUGCAUUAGCUAGUUGGUGGGGUAUCGGCCUACCAAGGCAACGAUGCAUAGCCGACCUGAGAGGGUGGUCGGCCACAUUGGGACUGAGACACGGCCCAAACUCCUACGGGAGGCAGCAGUAGGGAAUCUUCCACAAUGGACGAAAGUCUGAUGGAGCAACGCCGCGUGAGUGAUGAAGGUUUUCGGAUCGUAAAACUCUGUUGUAAGGGAAGAACAAGUACGUUAGGAAAUGAACGUACCUUGACGGUACCUUAUUAGAAAGCCACGGCUAACUACGUGCCAGCCGCCGCCGUAA
Molecule: ribosomal RNA, 510 nt
Filed under: uncultured bacterium
Lineage: Bacteria
Description: partial 16S ribosomal RNA
Rfam family: Bacterial small subunit ribosomal RNA
Source: RNAcentral